ACCCGCACAAGCGGUGGAUGAUGUGGAUUAAUUCGAUGCAACGCGAAAAACCUUACCUACCCUUGACAUGUCAGGAACCCCGCUGAGAGGUGGGGUGCUCGAAAGAGAACCUGAACACAGGUGCUGCAUGGCUGUCGUCAGCUCGUGUCGUGAGAUGUUGGGUUAAGUCCCGCAACGAGCGCAAUCCUUGUCAUUAGUUGCUACGAAAGGGCACUCUAAUGAGACUGCCGGUGACAAACCGGAGGAAGGUGGGGAUGACGUCAAGUCCUCAUGGCCCUUAUGGGUAGGGCUUCACACGUCAUACAAUGGUACAUACAGAGGGCCGCCAACCCGCGAGGGGGAGCUAAUCCCAGAAAGUGUAUCGUAGUCCGGAUUGUAGUCCGCAACUCGACUACAUGAAGUUGGAAUCGCUAGUAAUCGCGGAUCAGCAUGUCGCGGUGAAUACGUUCCCGGGUCUU
This 458-nucleotide ribosomal RNA is filed under the name uncultured Paucimonas sp. RNAcentral describes it as "bacterial SSU rRNA". It matches the Rfam family "Bacterial small subunit ribosomal RNA", at positions 919 to 1382 of the family's 1533-position model. Lineage: Bacteria; Pseudomonadati; Pseudomonadota; Betaproteobacteria; Burkholderiales; Burkholderiaceae. The record is from RNAcentral.